RNAcentral lists this ribosomal RNA (492 nucleotides) under uncultured bacterium. RNAcentral's name for it is "partial 16S ribosomal RNA". It matches the Rfam family "Bacterial small subunit ribosomal RNA", at positions 29 to 506 of the family's 1533-position model. The record is from RNAcentral.
AUUGAACGCUGGCGGCAUGCUUUACACAUGCAAGUCGAACGGUAACAGGCCUUCGGUUGCUGUCGAGUGGCGAACGGGUGCGUAAUGCAUCGGAACGUGCCCAGAGGUGGGGGAUAACGCAUCGAAAGCUGUGCUAAUACCUCAUGUGAUCUGAGGAUGAAAGCGGGGGACCAGGCAGCAAUGUUUGGCCUCGCGCCUUUGUAGUGGCCGAUGUCAGAUUAGGUAGUUGGUGGGGUAAAGGCCUACCAAGCCGACGAUCCGUAGCCGGUCGGAGGGGACGGACGAGCAAAAAGGGGACGAGGAAAGGGCCAAGACCCCAAGGGAAGGAGGAGGUGGGGAAUUUUGGAAAAGGGGGGAAAGCCUGAGCAGGAAAGGCCGGGGGCGGGAAGAGGGCCUUCGGGUGGUAAACCGCUUUUGUAGGGAACGAAAAGGGUCUGGCUAAUACCUGGGGCUGAUGAGGGUACCGUAAGAAUAAGCACCGGCUAAUUACGU